Molecule: non-coding RNA, 94 nt
Organism: Mycena vulgaris
Lineage: Eukaryota; Fungi; Basidiomycota; Agaricomycetes; Agaricales; Mycenaceae
Source: the annotation of a GenBank genome assembly
GACCUGGUGGUUUAGGGGUAACACAACUGUUCUGUAUUCAAGGGAUGCUCUGAUAUUUGAGUAGGAGUACCUUGUUUGACUCAAGGCCAGGCCA